This 76-nucleotide transfer RNA is filed under the name Shewanella benthica. RNAcentral describes it as "tRNA-Glu". It matches the Rfam family "tRNA". From Rfam's summary of the family: Transfer RNA (tRNA) molecules are approximately 80 nucleotides in length. Their secondary structure includes four short double-helical elements and three loops (D, anti-codon, and T loops). Further hydrogen bonds mediate the characteristic L-shaped molecular structure. tRNAs have two regions of fundamental functional importance: the anti-codon, which is responsible for specific mRNA codon recognition, and the 3' end, to which the tRNAs corresponding amino acid is attached (by aminoacyl-tRNA synthetases). tRNAs cope with the degeneracy of the genetic code in two manners: having more than one tRNA (with a specific anti-codon) for a particular amino acid; and 'wobble' base-pairing, i.e. permitting non-standard base-pairing at the 3rd anti-codon position. The record is from RNAcentral. RNAcentral also lists the same sequence under 1 other name. Lineage: Bacteria; Pseudomonadati; Pseudomonadota; Gammaproteobacteria; Alteromonadales; Shewanellaceae.
GUCCCCAUCGUCUAGAGGCCUAGGACAUCGCCCUUUCACGGCGAUAACAGGGGUUCGAAUCCCCUUGGGGAUACCA